AUACAUACCUGGCAGGGGAAGCACUAUGAUCACGAAGGUGGUUUUCCCAGGGUGAGGCUGAUCCAUUGCACUGGGGAUCGCUGACCCCUGUGAUUUCCCCACAUGGGGAAAACUUGACUGCAUAAUUUGUGUUGGUAGGGGAUUGCAUCCUUAUUUCCCCCUG
RNAcentral lists this small nuclear RNA (163 nucleotides) under Dasypus novemcinctus (nine-banded armadillo). RNAcentral describes it as "U1 spliceosomal RNA (ENSDNOG00000044621.1)". It matches the Rfam family "U1 spliceosomal RNA". Rfam says of the family: U1 is a small nuclear RNA (snRNA) component of the spliceosome (involved in pre-mRNA splicing). Lineage: Eukaryota; Metazoa; Chordata; Mammalia; Cingulata; Dasypodidae. The record is from RNAcentral.